GGGUGGUAAUGCCGGAUGCUCCAGUUGAUUGCAUGGUCUUCUGGGAAAGCUUUCGCGGUAUGGGAUGGGGUCGCGUCCUAUCAGCUUGACGGCGGGGUAACGGCCCACCGUGGCUUCGACGGGUAGCCGGCCUGAGAGGGCGACCGGCCACAUUGGGACUGAGAUACGGCCCAGACUCCUACGGGAGGCAGCAGUGGGGAAUAUUGCACAAUGGGCGCAAGCCUGAUGCAGCGACGCCGCGUGAGGGAUGGAGGCCUUCGGGUUGUAAACCUCUUUUAUCGGGGAGCAAGCGAGAGUGAGUUUACCCGUUGAAUAAGCACCGGCUAACUACGUGCCAGCAGCCGCGGUAAUACGUAGGGUGCAAGCGUUAUCCGGAAUUAUUGGGCGUAAAGGGCUCGUAGGCGGUUCGUCGCGUCCGGUGUGAAAGUCCAUCGCUUAACGGUGGAUCCGCGCCGGGUACGGGCGGGCUUGAGUGCGGUAGGGGAGACUGGAAUUCCCGGUGUAACGGUGGAAUGUGUAGAUAUCGGGAAAGAACACCA
RNAcentral lists this ribosomal RNA (539 nucleotides) under Bifidobacterium longum subsp. infantis. Its description in RNAcentral is "bacterial SSU rRNA". It matches the Rfam family "Bacterial small subunit ribosomal RNA", at positions 158 to 711 of the family's 1533-position model. The record is from RNAcentral. Lineage: Bacteria; Bacillati; Actinomycetota; Actinomycetes; Bifidobacteriales; Bifidobacteriaceae.